RNAcentral lists this transfer RNA (75 nucleotides) under Escherichia coli. RNAcentral describes it as "tRNA-Gly". It matches the Rfam family "tRNA". Rfam says of the family: Transfer RNA (tRNA) molecules are approximately 80 nucleotides in length. Their secondary structure includes four short double-helical elements and three loops (D, anti-codon, and T loops). RNAcentral also lists the same sequence under 1 other name. The record is from RNAcentral. Lineage: Bacteria; Pseudomonadati; Pseudomonadota; Gammaproteobacteria; Enterobacterales; Enterobacteriaceae.
GCGGGAAUAGCUCAGUUGGUAGAGCACGACCUUGCCAAGGUCGGGGUGCGAGUUCGAGUCUCGUUUCCCGCUCCA